GUCACGGAAACACCCUCGUCCGGCACCUCUCGGGCCCCCAGGACCCCUACCCGGCAGACAUGGUCCUCGGGCACUCUGACCGCCGGCCCGGCCCCUGGGUUUGGCUCGCUUCAGAUAAAAAAUUUUGAGCCAGGAUAUGCAGUUAAUGCUUCUUUUGCACCCAAAUCUAACCCUUAGGAGACUAAGCCGAAUGUGGCUUGGUUUGAAGAUUCUACAACCAAGUCCCACCUUUAGAGAUGAUGUCAUGGCCAUGGCCACCAGGAGAGUGAUCAGAAGCUACAGAGACAGCACAGCAGCUUCUCAGCAUUGAUAAAACUUAUGAGACAAGACAAAACAAGAGUGACAAUUUCCUAGAGACAUGAGAUUUUCAACAAGAGUUUCAGCAUAUAGAGCAUAUUCCCCUAGAGUUGGUAUAUCUAAUACAGCUGUGCUGAAAACUCAGAGCCUUGAACAUCCAUCAGAUUCACUUACUACGACAUUUUCUUUAUACUAUGUCUCAUAACAGCUAGGCCUGCAGUUGCAAUGAAAAGUAAAGUUAUGACUAAAAUUAUAUUACUAAGAUGAUAGUCAUUGUUUUCUGUAAGAAUUUGACAUCAGCCUAUUCUUCAGAUUCAGAAACUGAACCUUAGGACUCGUGGAAUGCUGUGAAGAUAGAAUGAACAAUCUGUGAAAAGUGCUUUGACUUGAUGUGUUACUUAUUACCAUCCUUAGUUUUACUUGUUUCUUUUUGAAGAUGGCCUAGAGAAAAAUAAAGGUAUUGCCAGUGGUGGUGGUGCACGCCUGUAAUACCAGUACUUGGGAGGCUGAGGCAGAAGGAUCGCUGUGAGUUCAAGACCAGCCUGGCCUAUAUAAUGAGUUCCAGGUCAUUCUUAACUACAUAGUGAGACGCAAUCUCAAAAAAACAACAACAAAAAAAUAAAGGCCUUAUUUGGAGAGAACAGCAUGAUUCAAUAGAGCAGCAUGAAGAAUAAAAACUGAACUUUGGUAUCACACUGUAAGUCUGGUUUUCAAUCUUCAGAUUAUAUCAGAAUUAGCUAGGGAACUUUGAAAAAAUUCCUAGUCGUAUCCCAGGCUUCUGAAAUCAAAUUUCCCAAAGAUAGGUUUAGAAGUCCGUAAAUACACAUACACAUACACACACACACACACACACACACACACACACACACACACACACACACA
Molecule: long non-coding RNA, 1179 nt
Filed under: Fukomys damarensis (Damara mole-rat)
Lineage: Eukaryota; Metazoa; Chordata; Mammalia; Rodentia; Bathyergidae
Description: lncRNA (ENSFDAG00000025921.1)
Source: RNAcentral